GUCCUCUUGUGGAGAAUUUGAGGUCUAGCCUGCCCACUGAUUUUAUUGAAGGGCCGCGGUAUUUUGACCGUGCAAAGGUAGCAUAAUCAUUAGUCUUUUAAUUGAAGGCUGGUAUGAAUGGUUGGACGAGGUGCUGACUGUCUCACAGCAGAUGCUGGUAGAAUUUAACAUUUAAGUUAAAAGGCUUAAAUAUAUUUAGAGGACGAGAAGACCCUAUAGAGCUUUAUACUACGAUUUUAUACGUUGUUUAGAUGAAUUGUUCUUAUACAUUUUCUAGUAUUUUAUUGGGGUGAUAGGAAGAUAAAAUAAACUCUUUUUUGUGUAAUCCAUUGAUUUAUGAUUUUUUGAU
Molecule: ribosomal RNA, 349 nt
Filed under: Calineuria sp. MN-2012
Lineage: Eukaryota; Metazoa; Arthropoda; Insecta; Plecoptera; Perlidae
Description: partial 16S ribosomal RNA
Rfam family: Archaeal large subunit ribosomal RNA
Source: RNAcentral